RNAcentral lists this long non-coding RNA (208 nucleotides) under Nicotiana benthamiana. RNAcentral describes it as "long non-coding RNA (NBEN_LNC009091)". Lineage: Eukaryota; Viridiplantae; Streptophyta; Magnoliopsida; Solanales; Solanaceae. The record is from RNAcentral.
GAUAAGUAUCGAUUUUAUGUUUGAUUAAAAUCUGUGAUUGUGUGUUGUCUAUAUUACAUGCAAGUGAUCAUGGCUAUUUGCUUCCGUUGUUCAUACCUAUUUUCCAUCAAUUAGUGUCAGAACUUGCUUAUGUCUAACUAGAUAACAUGAUAUAUUUUUGUAUAUAUGUAGGAUUAUAUACAAGAAUAUACUUUCGUGAUUGGUGCAU